CUAAUUAUAAGAGCCAAAAAUAAAUUCACAAGGUAAAUUAUAUACAUCAAUUAUAAAAAAGGCUUCAAAAAUCUAUAAUAAAAAUAAUUUAUAUUUCUUAUAAAUCUUUAUUUAUCUUCAUAUUAAACUUGAUAAGGUCAUUUAUCAUUAUAUGCCAAUAUGUUGGAAGACAAUAAGGUAAAAGUAUUUUUGUCAAAUGUAACUAUUGCAAGAAAAGUCUGCCGAACCGACCCAAACCGAGUAGUUUGGCCCGUAACGAGUUGGACCAACACCAACCUGUAAUGGUUCAACUUGUUGGGUCGGUUCGGCC
Molecule: long non-coding RNA, 310 nt
Filed under: Phoenix dactylifera (date palm)
Lineage: Eukaryota; Viridiplantae; Streptophyta; Magnoliopsida; Arecales; Arecaceae
Description: long non-coding RNA (PDAC_LNC013930)
Source: RNAcentral